RNAcentral lists this ribosomal RNA (1342 nucleotides) under uncultured bacterium. Its description in RNAcentral is "16S ribosomal RNA". It matches the Rfam family "Bacterial small subunit ribosomal RNA", at positions 28 to 1378 of the family's 1533-position model. The record is from RNAcentral.
GACGAACGCUGGCGGCGUGCUUAACACAUGCAAGUCGAACGGAAAGGCCCUGCUUUUGUGGGGUGCUCGAGUGGCGAACGGGUGAGUAACACGUGAGUAACCUGCCCUUGACUUUGGGAUAACUUCAGGAAACUGGGGCUAAUACCGGAUAGGAGCUCCUGCUGCAUGGUGGGGGUUGGAAAGUUUCGGCGGUUGGGGAUGGACUCGCGGCUUAUCAGCUUGUUGGUGGGGUAGUGGCUUACCAAGGCUUUGACGGGUAGCCGGCCUGAGAGGGUGACCGGCCACAUUGGGACUGAGAUACGGCCCAGACUCCUACGGGAGGCAGCAGUGGGGAAUAUUGCACAAUGGGCGGAAGCCUGAUGCAGCAACGCCGCGUGCGGGAUGACGGCCUUCGGGUUGUAAACCGCUUUCGCCUGUGACGAAGCGUGAGUGACGGUAAUGGGUAAAGAAGCACCGGCUAACUACGUGCCAGCAGCCGCGGUGAUACGUAGGGUGCGAGCGUUGUCCGGAUUUAUUGGGCGUAAAGGGCUCGUAGGUGGUUGAUCGCGUCGGAAGUGUAAUCUUGGGGCUUAACCCUGAGCGUGCUUUCGAUACGGGUUGACUUGAGGAAGGUAGGGGAGAAUGGAAUCCCUGGUGGAGCGGUGGAAUGCGCAGAUAUCAGGAGGAACACCAGUGGCGAAGGCGGUUCUCUGGGCCUUUCCUGACGCUGAGGAGCGAAAGCGUGGGGAGCGAACAGGCUUAGAUACCCUGGUAGUCCACGCUGUAAACGGUGGGUACUAGGUGUGGGGUCCAUUCCACGGGUUCCGUGCCGUAGCUAACGCUUUAAGUACCCCGCCUGGGGAGUACGGCCGCAAGGCUAAAACUCAAAGGAAUUGACGGGGCCCCGCACAAGCGGCGGAGCAUGCGGAUUAAUUCGAUGCAACGCGUAGAACCUUACCUGGGUUUGACAUGGAUCGGGAGUGCUCAGAGAUGGGUGUGCCUCUUUUGGGGUCGGUUCACAGGUGGUGCAUGCCUGUCGUCAGCUCGUGUCGUGAGAUGUUGGGUUAAGUCCCGCAACGAGCGCAACCCUUGUUCACUGUUGCCAGCACGUUAUGGUGGGGACUCAGUGGAGACCGCCGGGGUCAACUCGGAGGAAGGUGGGGAUGACGUCAAGUCAUCAUGCCCCUUAUGUCCAGGGCUUCACGCAUGCUACAAUGGCUGGUACAGAGAGUGGCGAGCCUGUGAGGGUGAGCGAAUCUCGGAAAGCCGGUCUCAGUUCGGAUUGGGGUCUGCAACUCGACCUCAUGAAGUCGGAGUCGCUAGUAUCGCAGAUCAGCAACGCUGCGGUGAAUACGUUCCCGGG